AUACGUAGGUGGCAAGCGUUGUCCGGAUUUACUGGGUGCAAAGGGCGUGUAGGCGGAGAUGCAAGUCAGGAGUGAAAUCUAGGGGCUCAACCCCUAAACUGCUUUUGAAACUGUAUCCCUUGAGUAUCGGAGAGGCAGGCUGAAUUCCUAGUGUAGCGGUGAAAUGCGUAGAUAUUAGGAGGAACACCAGUGGCGAAGGCGGCCUGCUGGACGACAACUGACGCUGAGGCGCGAAAGCGUGGGGAGCAAACAGGAUUAGAUACCCUGGUAGUCCACGCUGUAAACGAUGAAUACUAGGUGUGGGGGGACUGACCCCCUCCGUGCCGCAGUUAACACAAUAAGUAUUCCACCUGGGGAGUACGAUCGCAAGAUUGAAACUCAAAUGAAUUGGCGGGG
RNAcentral lists this ribosomal RNA (396 nucleotides) under uncultured bacterium. Its description in RNAcentral is "partial 16S ribosomal RNA". It matches the Rfam family "Bacterial small subunit ribosomal RNA", at positions 523 to 918 of the family's 1533-position model. The record is from RNAcentral.